GACGAACGCUGGCGGCGUGCUUAACACAUGCAAGUCGAACGGUGAAGCGCCUUCCUUUUUGGUGGGUGUGGAUGAGUGGCGAACGGGUGAGUAACACGUGAGUAACCUGCCCCCUUCUUCUGGAUAACCGCAUGAAAGUGUGGCUAAUACGGGAUAUUCUGGGUCUGUCGCAUGAUGGGUCUGGGAAAGAUAUUGUUUCGGUGGGUGAUGGGCUCGCGGCCUAUCAGCUUGUUGGUGGGGUGAUGGCCUACCAAGGCGGUGACGGGUAGCCGGCCUGAGAGGGUGGACGGUCACACUGGGACUGAGACACGGCCCAGACUCCUACGGGAGGCAGCAGUGGGGAAUAUUGCACAAUGGGCGCAAGCCUGAUGCAGCGACGCCGCGUGAGGGAGGGAGGCCUUCGGGUUGUGAACCUCUUUCGCCAGUGAAGCAGGCCUGCCUCGUUUGUGGGUGGGUUGACGGUAGCUGGAUAAGAAGCGCCGGCUAACUACGUG
RNAcentral lists this ribosomal RNA (494 nucleotides) under uncultured bacterium. RNAcentral's name for it is "partial 16S ribosomal RNA". It matches the Rfam family "Bacterial small subunit ribosomal RNA", at positions 28 to 507 of the family's 1533-position model. The record is from RNAcentral.